UUCCGGUUGAUCCCGCCGGAGGUCACUGCUAUUGGGAUUCGACUAAGCCAUGCGAGUCGAGAGGGUUCGGCCCUCGGCAGACGGCUCAGUAACACGUGGAUAAUCUGCCCUUAGGUGGAGGAUAAUCUCGGGAAACUGAGGAUAAUACUCCAUAGAUCUAGGAUGCUGGAAUGCACUUAGAUUUAAAGUUCCGGCGCCUAAGGAUGAGUCUGCGGACUAUCAGGUAGUAGUCAGGGUAAAGACCUGACUAGCCUACGACGGAUACGGGUUGUGAGAGCAAUAACCCGGAGACGAUAUCUGAGACACGAUAUCGGGCCCUACGGGGCGCAGCAGGCGCGAAAACUUCACACUGUGCGAAAGCACGAUGAGGGAAUCCCAAGUGCUUGCUCGUAAGAGUAAGCUGUUUUUAUGUCUAAAAAGCAUAGAGAGUAAGGGCUGGGUAAGACGGGUGCCAGCCGCCGCGGUAA
Molecule: ribosomal RNA, 467 nt
Filed under: uncultured archaeon
Lineage: Archaea
Description: bacterial SSU rRNA
Rfam family: Archaeal small subunit ribosomal RNA
Source: RNAcentral